Molecule: transfer RNA, 72 nt
Filed under: Methanomicrobiales archaeon
Lineage: Archaea; Methanobacteriati; Methanobacteriota; Methanomicrobia; Methanomicrobiales
Description: tRNA-Ala
Rfam family: tRNA
About the family: Transfer RNA (tRNA) molecules are approximately 80 nucleotides in length. Their secondary structure includes four short double-helical elements and three loops (D, anti-codon, and T loops).
Source: RNAcentral
GGGCAGGUAGAUCAGAGGUAGAUCGCAUCGUUCGCAACGAUGAGGCCACGGGUUCGAAUCCCGUCCUGUCCA